AAUAAAAUGUGUUUUUAUUCAAAUUAAAGAAUCACUUUAAAUUAGAUAAGUGAUUGAAUGAAAUGUUGCCAGCAGUGAUUGAAAUAACAUAUCAAUUUUGUACAAAAGACCUUAUAAAUACUGAUUUUUUCGUAAAUUAUCACAAUAACAGUGUGAAGCUUUUGAAAUAUGUAAAGAAUUAUAACUUGGAAAUUAGAAAUACAAUUUACUUGAUUGGUGAUUGAUCUUUAAAAUGAAUUCUGACAGCUUAGAUAAUUAUUUUAGUUGGUUGCCAGUUAUAAACACAGUUAAAGAUCGUGUGAAAAAUGAUUCUUUAAUUCAUAUGUUUUCAUAUAAGAUUAAAAUUCGAGAAAAUACUAAGAAUUUAAAUAAAUUUUUAAAGACAUAUCGUCCUAAAUGUUACAGUGAUUUUGUAAAAUGCAAACAAGACAUUUUGAAUAAAAUUACAAGUAAUGUCGAUGUCUCAGAUGAUUCAGAGCUUAGUGAUAGUGAUAUUAAAACUUUUUAUAGUAGUUUUAAUGAAAGUAGUGCUGCGAAUUUAAAAACCAUUCACAACGAUCUUUUUGUAUGGUCUUUUAUUGAAAAAAAAGGUUUAAAAAUCAUAGAACCAGAAAAUGAUUACAAUAGUACCAUCUGGGAACCUACAAUAGAUAUAAGUAUAGAGAAUUGUCACAGUCAAGCUGAAGGUCAAGCUAAAUGUAAUGUUAAUUUCAAGGCAGCAAGAGCUUUGCCAAUGAAAAAUAAGAAUCCAAAAAAAAAGUCCAAAAAAAAUAUUUAUCACAAUACAAGAAACUCAUCUUCCAGUAAUUCUAUUAAUAAUAAUAUUAAUUGUAUCAAUGUAUCAAAGAAAUUUCUAGAAAAAUAUGAAGAAGAGGUUGAAAAGAAAAAAACUUCUGCCACUAAAGUGCUAAGAACGAAGAAAAUAAAUGGCUUAAAAAGAAAUUUAAAACCUACAAUCCACGAUACCAGUCCACAAUCCUUAGAAAAUACCAAAGAUUUUAGUUGCGAUUUUAUACAUGAAAAUUUUCAAGCUCAAAGCACUCAAAUUUUUUCAGAUACUUUCAUAGAUACUAGUAUACAAAUAAAUAAUCAAACCAGGCAAGCUCAUAAAUUUGCAUCCAAUCAUACUAACAAUCAACCUAGAGAUUCAUGUAUAGAAGAAGAUUCAAGAGCUGGAAAUAUUAUACAUCAAAACAUUAAAAAUGGCACUUCAAAGAAUAAUAAACAAAAUACUUUUUUUAGUAAAAAUACUGAGUCCUGUAAUAAUUUAAGGAAAAAUAAAACCUUAAAAAUUAUUGGAAAUGAAACACUGAUAAAGAAAUACAAAAUAGUAGCCACAAACAACAAAGAAUCACAACCUAUUAUAGAAGAGAAAAAUGUUUCUUUAUCUGGACUGAAUAAUAAAAAUAAUGAUUACUCAAAUCAUAAAUUACGUGAUUCUGAAAGUGAUUUUAAAUCAAUAGAGUCUGAUAAUGAAGAAGAAAAUUUUGAUGAAUGCUAUGAUAUACCUGAUGAUAUCGAUACUUUAAAGUUUGAAGAUGAUCAAGCCUCUCAUGCCGAAGGAAGUUGGGUAACAAAUCAUAAAGAAACUUGUGUAGAAUAUGAUUCUCAAGAUAGUGAACAUUAUUGUAAAAGGAUGACAAAUGAGUCAGUAAAAAGUACAUCUCCAUGGAUAACUAAGCAGUAUGAUAAUUUAAAACAAUUAAGAUUACUAAACACUAGUGUAGAUGAUUCUGAAAUUGAUUCAAAUGAGAAAAAUCAAUCCAACACUAUUGCUGAACAAACAGUUUCAACAAAGAAUAAAAACAUUCCAAAAAUAUUUAUCAACGAAACAGAAAAAUCAAGUGAAAUUCAAAGUAAAAAAGAGAAAUCGUUUGUCAAUGGCACACUAACAAGACAUUUAGAUUUAGAAAUAAAUACUUCACAAAUCAGUAAUGAACAUUUUAAUAAAAAUGCAAAUGUUGAUACGCACAAUGACAGAAAAAAUGAAUCUUCAUUUAAUCAAACAGACAGUUUCUGUAAAAAUGGUGGUUCUUUAAAUUCAAAAUUAGACAAUAAUAAUGUGUAUUGCUCUGAAUCUGAUGGAGAUAGUCAAAAGUCAUUUCAGAAAAUUAAGAAACUGAAAUAUAGAAAGAAACAACAAAAAACUAAUAUAUUGGAUUUGCCAAGUAAUAGAGAACAAUUAUAUGAAAGGCAAUUACAGCAUGAUUUAAAAAAUGUAAAAAGUUACAAAAGUAUAUAUUCAACAAAAUGUAUCAACAAUGAUGACAUUAAAGAAGGUAUCCAUCAAAACUGUGAAGAAGAUGUUUUUUUGGAUUUACAUGUUGAAAACUUAACAAAAUUAAAAAUAAAAUCAGCUAGUAGUAAAUUAGAUCAUAGCAAAAAAAAUAGUUAUGGUAUUUGUUCAAAAUAUAGUAGUUCUCAUAGAAAUUCCAGUGUUUCUAGUAUAGAAGACCUUCCGAUAACUAAAUACAAGAAAGAGAAUAGAUUGAAUGAUAAAAUCUUAACUACAUCUAAUGAUAAAAAAGAAAAUGAAGAUGAAAAGAUAAUAUCAGAACAUCAAAAGAAAAAGCUACAAAAAUUGAAAAAAAUUGAUCUUAUUGCUUCUGAUGAAACAAGUGACAGGGAAACACAACUUGAAAAAGAAAAAAUUGGUGAAAAGAUUGAAAUAAAAUUACAGAAGGCUUAUGAUAGUGAAAUCGACAAUUACAAAAUAACAGAAACUAUGUUAUCUCACAAGGAAAGUCCAAGCAAUAUAGAAGAUGAUGUUUUACCAACUCAGCAAGCUCAGAAAAAAAUCCAACAAAUGAAAAGACUAAAUUUUAUUGAUAGUAAUGAAUCAGAACGUAAUGAAUCAGAAACGGUUUCCAUAAAUAGACAUGAAUAUAAAUCAAUAAAACCAGAACCUAUAAAAGAGCAAAGUACAGAAAAUUUUGAAAAAGUUAAGAAAGCAAUUUGUAAUGAGAAUAACGUCGAAGACGAUAAAAUGCCAAGGAACGAAAAAAAAUAUUUACAGCAAAUAAAAAAGAUAAAUGGUUUGGGAACUAAUGUAUCAGAAGACCUGGGUGAACAUCAAGUUUUAAAAAAUAUAAGCAGAAAAAUAUCCAAUGAGAAAAUACAAUUAAUCAGUGCGAAAGAGCAAACUUUCAAUGACAAAUCGAAAAAAACCCAUAAACUUACAGAAGAAGUAAAUAACGAAAAGGAUAUCAUAUCGGUAAAUCAGGUAAAACAUUUGCAGCAAAAGAAAAAAAUGGAUGUGCCCACUGAUAAUUCGGAAGAGUCUAAUAAAGGAGAUCAAGUUUUAAAAAGUAGAAAUAAAGAAAUAUUCAAUGAGAAAACAAAACGUGAAGAUAGCGAGAAUGAAAAUAUUAAGUCGAAUAAGAAAACCAAAUUGCUUGAAAAAUGUAAUGCAGAUUUACAUGAAGAAAGAGAUAGUGAUAUCGUCUAUCAUGACAGUGAUAAUGUUGAUAUCAAAGAACAUAAAGUAACUAUACCCAAAGAAUUGAAACAUUCAAAUCUCUUGGAUUAUCUCAAUGAAAGUAAUGUUGAAAGAUUUGAUCUGUCUUUAAACGAUGAUGAAUUUCAAAAGCAUUUGCAGAAAAAAAAUGUAGGUGAAUUAGUAAAUGAUGAUGAUGAAGAAAUCGAUAACAUUAUACCUGUGGAAGUAUCAAAACGUAUGCAGCAACUAAAAAGAUUAAACCUUUACGAGGAUAACGAUAGUUCUGAUUCUGAUGAGGUACUUAUACACAAUAGAAGUGAUAGAAAUAUUUCUCGAAACCGAUCCAGUGUCUCGAGAAAUGCAUACGAUGAUAGCUCGAGUGAUGAAACAGAAAACAUUAGUAAAGAUCCACUAAAAUCAAUCGACGAACUUAACGAGUCUGAAUUAAAUGAUACGAAAGGAAAGUUUCAAGAUAACAUUACAAACGAGGAAGAUAACGACGAACAAAAUAUGAAUGUUAUCAUCCCCGAAACGCAAGAAAGUGUAGAUAUUGUAUCGGAUAAUAUUCAAUCCCAAGAAGUAUUUUCAUUUCCUGAAAAUUUGGCAAAAUGUUCAAGUUCAAUUCCCGCAACUCCAAAAUCAGUCUUAAAAAAAUCGAGUCCCACUGAACUAGUAAGAAAAAAAAUAACGGAGAUCACUGAACUUGUUGAACAAGAUGAGUUAACGAAAAGUUCUUUAAAACCAACAAUAAUUUUGGAUGAUAUAUCUGAUGAUGAAGAAAUAUUUUUUAUUGAUGUUCCAAAACACCUUUUUGAUCAAAACAUAAUUGGUAAAAAAUUGAUUGUUUCAAAUAGUUCUUUAACCAUAGGAGAAUCGAAUUAUAAGAUAUAUGAUAAAGACAUUCCACCUAUAAUGACAUGUGUAAUAAAAUCUAAGAAGAAAAAGUACAAAACAGUGAAUGUAAGACCACUAUUUUCAAUUAUUGCUCAAGGAAAGAUUAACGGAGAUGAAUUUUAUGGUACAGAAUCGACAUCAAUAGAAAAGUCAAAUUCAAAAAAUUUAAAGUUGUCUUUGAAAGAUAAAUUGCAUAGCACGUCUUCCAUAGCAUUAAAGGAUGGCAUAAUUGCAAAGAAAAAAAGGAUAAAGAAUAAGAAAAUUAAUUUGAAUUUGAAUGAUGUUGAUGACAUCGAAAAUUUUAAAAAAAUAACAGGACAAGGAAUAGCAAGUACAAGCAAAGUACCGAAAAGAAAAUUGUAUGAAAGUGAUCAUGAAAUGAAAGAUUUAGUAGAUAGCAGAACAACAGAAUCUAUUAUGAAUACAAAUAGUUCAUUAAAAAAAUUAAAGGAAUUGAAAGAAAGAGUAAAGGAUACUGUUGAUACAAGUAUAAAGUCUGCUGUAAGAGUAAGUACAAAUGAGCCAACACUUAAGAAUAUCAAUGUGAACGAACCAGCUCCCAACAAUGAAAAUAAAAGUAAAGUUGAAAUUUCGACGCAAAGCAAGUCUAAAACAAAAAUUAAGACAAAAACGAAAAGCAAAGUCGAAGAAUCUAAUACAAAGACAGAAGAGGAAUUUGCGUUAGAAAAAAUUACCAAAUCUCUAGAGAAUGACAAGGAGAUGUUUGAACAUAUGCUUCAAGACUCAUUUUUACUUGAUGUAUCUAUUGUCGAAGAAAUGAAAGCGGCGAAAAAGAAAGGAAAAAAAAGGAGCGUAAAUGAAGAUGCUAACUCAGAUACAAGAACAAAAAGAAUAAAGAAAUCAGAAAUGAAAGAAGAAAAUUCAAUAGCUGCUGUAAAACCUAAAAGAUCAACAAAGAAAGUUGAAAAAAAACCUAAAGAAGAGCCAGCAUCUGUACAAAUAAUGAAACUUAUCAACAGUGCAUUUCAGCUUAACGACGAUAAACUCAAUACUUCAACAUCCAGUAACGAAAGCAGGUAUGAAGCUCUCGACGUCAAGCGCGUCCCAGCGAAAAAGAAUUACUCGUCUUCGAGUAGUAAUGAUGAAUGUGAGAAAAAAUAUUCAAAAUUAGAAUUUUAUGUCAAGGAAAAAUUGAAGGAAAAAGAGCCAACGGAACCUAUAACUUCACUGAACAAUUCUACUCUCGAACAAAAAGUAAAAGAUGAAAAGAAGAAAAUUAAAAAAAUCUACUUCGACGAAUAAAUAGACUGGAUAAAAAAAAAUAUGCUAGUUGUAAUUCCGCGGAAUGAUAAAGUUCCAAAUGCAUUCAGAUGUUUCAUUGCGAUGCACGUCUGCGUAAGUGUGAGCCGAUGCACCACACUCAUAACCGAGAAUACUACGAUGCCAUUUAAGAUUUUCCACUGCAAGGCAUUGGCCAGUCAUCACGUGUUGAAUCACAAUCCUAUGGAUUUAGUACAAAGUAUUGUAAAGUUUUAUGUUUUGUAUUUGGAGGCAUAUAUGUGAAAUGUUCGGUGAUAGUUAAAAGGCGCUAUUAAUGUUCAUAAUAUUAUAAUUUUCUUGUUUUUUCCCAUUUAUUACGCGAAUUGUUAUUUUCCUAUAGAUAUGAAAAAAAUUUUAUUUUGUUGAUUUCUUACUUUUGGACCAGUUAUUUUAUUAUGACAAAAUAUAAGUGUUUUUAUCUAAGCAUACUGAAAAGAACUGCUACCAAUCGAACAGCUGCACUUGUUAUAAAAAACCUUAUGCAUGGUGGAAUGGGAUCUCCUUCUGUCUCGAAUCUCUGCUGUCUGUUCCAGUAAAGAGCUCUCCACUUUGCAUAACAAUCUUUGGUAACAUUCAAGCGCAGAGGAUUGUGAUAUUUGGGGCCGAAUUGACCAUCAAUAAGAGGUGUUUCCGAUCGCAGGUAUAAAAUUUCAUUUGCAUAAGGCAGCUUGAAGCAGAAGAUAAAAUUCCCAGUAAAUGAUCAUUAACAAGUUUCAGAUUUAACUUAUAUUACUAUUAAUUAUGAGAAUGUUGCACUAUAAUAGUAUAAAACUGAAGGUAAAUCUUUAAUUUUCGUCAAGGAAAACGGCAAGCAUAAAUUACUUUUAUAAAUUUAAAAAGAAACAUUGAAGCAUUUACAAAAAGAAAAAAAAAGUUGCACUAUGUAGUCACAAAAAAACGUAAACCUGCAAAUAAAACUGUCGUCCAAAUAAGCAGGACACCUGUAAGGUGAGCAAGCAACAGCGCAACCAUCAACCAUUCUGGCGAUCUCGAUGUCCUCGUAAGCAGCAGUGGCAGCAAGUGUUAAACCCAACUGCCUUGGCCCCCAAGGUAUCUCAGCGUCAGGACAUCCUCGAUCGCUUUCCAGUUUGAUGGAUUCGUUGGCAAUGGCACGCCGCGAAUGAAGUUGUGGAUUAAGCGACGACGACGCUGACAUAUCAAUAAACCUUUUUUACGCUUUUUGUCUUGUUCCUCGCGUUGUUCCUGCACGAGAGCGAUAGAUAAUACGACGCACACUUGACGUCAAAUACAAUCCUCAGAAUGAAAAUCGAUUGUUACUGUGCGAAAUAAAAAAUGUACGCGGAGUCGCUGUGGCGAAGGUGCUUGCUAAAAAUUGUAUCUGAUAUUAUGAUAUGAUGUCUGCGUUAGUGAAAGGCUCAAACAAGAAAUGAAAGUCAUAGCAACUAAGUAGUUUCUGGAAUUCAGAGAGGCGGUGCGAGCUCGAGCGCAGCCGAACGCAUUCUGUCGAGAUUCAAAGCUGCGUUAUAUUGCACAGACCGCAUAAUUUUUCGAGCGCCAUAAUGCAUAAUGCUAUACUUCGAAAAGAAAUAUAUUUUUCAAAGUCACAAUUGUUCUUUUACAAAUCAUUGACUCGCUGCUCCAAUUGCAUGCCUCUUAUAUUGUAAUAUCCAAUUGCAAGCAUGACUGUUGGAAAUCCGAUUGAGAUGAAUCGUGAAGCAGAAGUAAAUGAAUAAAAAUUCGAUGUGUAAAGGUGCGCGCCUGCAUAAGGAUAAAGUGCCUCUAAUAGUUAAUCAGUUUAACGUGUCGAGCGAAUUGCGAAUAACGACAAAGUACAAUUUGAUCGAUUUUUCCUGCGCUAUUCUGGAAAUUCGAAUAAAGCAUGACAUGCGAUUUAUGACAGAUAGAUGCAUUCCGUCUUGAUGAAAGGGUUUGACGGCGCCGCAAGAACUAAAUGCUCGAGAUACAGAGGCAAGUUUCGCUGGUAACUAUAGCACGAGUCGUUCCGAUCAAUAAACUGUCACACGUGUACUAAUUGUAUUAGUAUCUUGUUUAUUUUGAUUUGGUUAUUGAAUUACAAGACAAUUAUGAAUGCCCGCGAUUGACGUGGACUUUCGCAAUUAUUGCAUUCCAAAUGCGCGCGAAUCAUCAGCGUAAUUACCUAAG
Molecule: RNA transcript, 7738 nt
Organism: Phymastichus coffea
Lineage: Eukaryota; Metazoa; Arthropoda; Insecta; Hymenoptera; Eulophidae
Gene name: repetitive organellar protein-like
Exons: 9
Source: RefSeq, a predicted model, not a curated record